This 1177-nucleotide long non-coding RNA is filed under the name Scophthalmus maximus (turbot). RNAcentral describes it as "lncRNA (ENSSMAG00000034563.1)". Lineage: Eukaryota; Metazoa; Chordata; Actinopteri; Pleuronectiformes; Scophthalmidae. The record is from RNAcentral.
GAUGAAGAAGCAGAGACCAGACGCUCCUGAACCCAGCGGUGUGUCCAUGAAGAGUGACCGGUCUAUGCGGCAGCCUGUUAACUUUAAAGAUGGACGACCUGCUGAUGGAAGGAUGAAGAAGCAGAGACCAGACGCUCCUGAACCCAGCGGUGUGUCCAUGAAGAGUGACCGGUCUAUACGGCAGCCUCUUAACUUUAAAGAUGGACGACCUGCUGAUGGAAGGUGAGAAGUUAUCUCACCUGCAUUGUUCAGAAUCAGCAGCUCUGCUGCCCUCUGCAGGUCAACACUGAAAGAGAGAGAAUUGGACUUAGAAUAAUGAUAAUAAAAAUAAUAAUAAUCAUGAGAAAAUUAUAUCAUUUCACACGUGCAGAUGUUAGUCUUCAGCACCAAUUCAACAAUCGCGAGUUGUACAGGCAGCUGCGAGCGUGAAACUGGCACCUGUGGGUAUAGAAGUGAGCAGCACAAGUGUGUCUGCUUUGCGAGCGCUGGAAGGUAAGCAUGCUCUCGAAGUUGAUUUCUGCUCGUGUGGAUGAAACUGACUUUUGACAUUUUGGGGUGGAAACCAAGGGAGGCACUGGCCCUCCUAUGAUUGGUCACUUGCUUUGAAAACAGUCACACCCACACGCAGCCUCGUACCUUGAUUGACAGCUAUAGAGGAAAGAAGGGAGACGGUACGGCCAGAAUCUUUUCAUUUUAUUUAAGGUUUGACAGCCAGGUUUAGCUGUAAAAUGCAAUCUGUGUCAGCCUGAUAACAUGGGAGAAGUAAUUGUAUAGGGUAUUAUUCUGAAUAAGACUAAUGCCCCAUUACCAGACAGUAGGAAGGGUCAUGAUGGUUUGAUAGUAAUUGUUAUUUUAUGUAGUUAUGAUUUGCGCAGCAUUUUAUUCUGAGUCACAGCCAUUUUAUGAUAUUUUAAUUUCACUGAUUCGGACGUUCAUUUACCUGACGAACUCGCUUAUUCUGGCGGUACAACAACUGUGACCUUCCUCCAACAACAGCUGUCAAUCAAGGUACGAGGCUGCGUGUGGGUGUGGCCGUUUUCAAAGCAAGUGACCAAUCAUAGGAAGGCCAGUUGUUGAAUUGGUGCUAGAAGGACUAAUAUCUGCAUGUGUGAAAUAUUAUAAUUUGUUGUUGAGCAUGUUUUACAUAAACCUGAUGCCCUAGUAGAAAGUCUGUUGU